Molecule: ribosomal RNA, 1396 nt
Filed under: Streptomyces spororaveus
Lineage: Bacteria; Bacillati; Actinomycetota; Actinomycetes; Kitasatosporales; Streptomycetaceae
Description: 16S ribosomal RNA
Rfam family: Bacterial small subunit ribosomal RNA
Source: RNAcentral
GGCGAACGGGUGAGUAACACGUGGGCAAUCUGCCCUUCACUCUGGGACAAGCCCUGGAAACGGGGUCUAAUACCGGAUACCACUCCUGCCUGCAUGGGCGGGGGUUGAAAGCUCCGGCGGUGAAGGAUGAGCCCGCGGCCUAUCAGCUUGUUGGUGGGGUAAUGGCCCACCAAGGCGACGACGGGUAGCCGGCCUGAGAGGGCGACCGGCCACACUGGGACUGAGACACGGCCCAGACUCCUACGGGAGGCAGCAGUGGGGAAUAUUGCACAAUGGGCGAAAGCCUGAUGCAGCGACGCCGCGUGAGGGAUGACGGCCUUCGGGUUGUAAACCUCUUUCAGCAGGGAAGAAGCGAAAGUGACGGUACCUGCAGAAGAAGCGCCGGCUAACUACGUGCCAGCAGCCGCGGUAAUACGUAGGGCGCAAGCGUUGUCCGGAAUUAUUGGGCGUAAAGAGCUCGUAGGCGGCUUGUCACGUCGGAUGUGAAAGCCCGAGGCUUAACCUCGGGUCUGCAUUCGAUACGGGCUAGCUAGAGUGUGGUAGGGGAGAUCGGAAUUCCUGGUGUAGCGGUGAAAUGCGCAGAUAUCAGGAGGAACACCGGUGGCGAAGGCGGAUCUCUGGGCCAUUACUGACGCUGAGGAGCGAAAGCGUGGGGAGCGAACAGGAUUAGAUACCCUGGUAGUCCACGCCGUAAACGUUGGGAACUAGGUGUUGGCGACAUUCCACGUCGUCGGUGCCGCAGCUAACGCAUUAAGUUCCCCGCCUGGGGAGUACGGCCGCAAGGCUAAAACUCAAAGGAAUUGACGGGGGCCCGCACCAGCACGGAGCAUGUGGCUUAAUUCGACGCACCGCGAAGAACCUUACCAAGGCUUGACAUAUACCGGAAAGCCUUAGAGAUAGUGCCCCCCUUGUGGUCGGUAUACAGGUGGUGCAUGGCGUCGUCAGCUCGUUCGUGAGAUGUUGGGUUAAGUCCCGCAACGAGCGCAACCCUUGUCCUGUGUUGCCAGCAUGCCCUUCGGGGUGCUGGGGACUCACAGGAGACCGCCGGGGUCAACUCGGAGGAAGGUGGGGACGACGUCAAGUCAUCAUGCCCCUUAUGUCUUGGGCUGCACACGUGCUACAAUGGCCGGUACAAUGAGCUGCGAUACCGUGAGGUGGAGCGAAUCUCAAAAAGCCGGUCUCAGUUCGGAUUGGGGUCUGCAACUCGACCCCAUGAAGUCGGAGUUGCUAGUAAUCGCAGAUCAGCAUUGCUGCGGAUGAAGCUACGUUCCCGGGCGCUUGUACACACCGCCCGUCACGUCCCGAAAGUCGGUAACACCCGAAGCCGGUGGCCCAACCCGUCAGGGAGGGAGCUGUCGAAGGUGGGACUGGCGAUGUGGGACGAAGUCGUACCAAG